AACAGGUCACAAAUCUUGCUGUUGUGAUGUGUAAUGAACACAAGAGGAGACAGAGAGCUGGAUUCAAGUGCAGGGUGCAGCAGGUGUUUAUUGCAAAGGACCACAGGAAGAGGCAGGUAGCUGGGUCCAGGGGCAGGCAGAAGGUUAUACACAGGAGGAGGCAGGUAGCUGGGUCCAGGGGCAGGCAGAAGGUUAUACACAGGAGGGGGCAUGUAGCUGGGUCCAGGGGCAGGCAGAAGGUCAUACACAGGAGAAGGCAGGUAGCUGGGUCCAGGGGCAGGCAGAAGGUCAUACACAGGAGAAGGCAGGUAGCUGGGUCCAGGGGCAGGCAGAAGGUCAUACACAGGAGGAGGCAGGUAGCUGGGUCCAGGGACAGGCAGAAGGUCAUACACAGGAGGAGGCAGGUAGCUGGGUCCAGGGACAGGCAGAAGGUUAUACACAGGAGGGGGCAUGUAGCUGGGUCCAGGGACAGGCAGAAGGUUAUACACAGGAGGAGGCAGGUAGCUGGGUCCAGGGACAGGCAGAAGGUCAUACACAGGAGGGGGCAUGUAGCUGGGUCCAGGGACAGGCAGAAGGUCAUACACAGGAGAAGGCAGGUAGCUGGGUCCAGGGGCAGGCAGAA
Long non-coding RNA from Oncorhynchus tshawytscha (Chinook salmon), 622 nucleotides. NCBI's taxonomy places the organism in Eukaryota, Metazoa, Chordata, Actinopteri, Salmoniformes, Salmonidae. The record is from Ensembl.